This is a long non-coding RNA of Ictalurus punctatus (channel catfish), 1381 nucleotides long. The record is from Ensembl. NCBI's taxonomy places the organism in Eukaryota, Metazoa, Chordata, Actinopteri, Siluriformes, Ictaluridae.
GGACCGUGUUUAUUCCUCUUUUUUGGCUGUGUUAUGACUGUGUAGAUAUCAAAACCCUUCAGAUGAGAUGCCUGAACUCCUGAAAUCCUCCUGUACCAGAUGCACACUUUAAUAGAUAGGGUGGAGCUUCAGCGGUUCACAACAUAGUGUGUGGAGGGUUAAAAGACUGAACCAUGAAGUUGAUAGUGGAUGUAGUGUGGAUGAUAUGGGGCAUCGGUGCAUCUGUGUACGAUUACUUCCACACCAGCGCCAUGGAGGAGAGGAUCCACACUCUGGAGAACGUCCUCACCAUCCACCAGUUUCUCAUCGUGUUCCUCUCAGCAAGCCUCGUCCUGCUUAUCUCCUACAUCGUCUUUAAGAAGAAAUGACAUGCCGGAAACCUCGAAAACCUGGGAGCCUCGAGGAACCAUGAGACAACCACUCUGCUCCUCAGUGAAUGAGGAUGAUUGUAUAGAUAGAUGAACGGUUGUGUCAGAUUGUCUGACCAUAUCAAAUGUAGCUAUGAAACAUUGACAAGGUUUACAAUAUUUUGUAUUUAAAGAAAUACACCAUUUCUAACAUGUUGUUCUACAGAGACAGUUUUGUCUACCAUGUUUCUCUUGUCAUGACCUGUGGAAUUAUGGGAUUACAACAUAACUGUGCACUCAAUAUCACACCAUACAACAGAUUACCAGAACUCUCAAAAACUAUUUUUUCUUCCUCAAACCAAGUUCAAGUACGUUUUUUUUAGUACUCAUCAAUACAGAUACAGUAAUGAUUAACCUACUUAGAAUAUUAAUCAUGCUAAGUAGAUUAGCAUGCCACAAAUAACAUGUUAUGGCGCUUAAAUGGUCUCAUUAAUAGAUGGUGUGAAGGUGGCCAUCUUGAGGAAGCUGACGUUGCUCAAUGCUUGUCAUGUGCAACAGUUUCUCUUUACAGCUCCACUGUUAUUUUUAAUGACCACACUGGCUGAAACUGCUCUGUACGCUCAGCUCAACACUCUAUAUUAAUAAAGAUACUGUUUAAAUGCCGUGAGAUGACUGAUCAGGUGCUUGUAUUGUAAGAAGUUGCUGUAGUAGCAUGUUUGCCUUGCACUCCAGGGUUGGGGGUUUAAAUCCUGUCUCCACCCUGUGUGCACAGAGCUUGUAUGUUCUCCCAGUACUUUGGGAGUUUCUUCUGAGUACUCAGACCAAAGACUGAUUGGCAUUUCCAAAUUGCCUGUAAUGUGUGUGAGAUUUUGCCCUGCGAUGGCUUGGCACUCUGUACAGGGUGUCCCCCAACUUGUGCCCCGAGCUCCCUGAGAUAGGCUCCAGGCCCCCCUGUGUAGGAUAGGCAGUACAGAAAAUGAUGGAUGGAAAUACCUCCAGAUUGCUGGCAUUUUGUGUUCCCGAGCGCAGCAACA